This 253-nucleotide long non-coding RNA is filed under the name Lathyrus oleraceus (garden pea). RNAcentral describes it as "Pisum sativum (pea) long non-coding RNA (PSAT_LNC013756)". Lineage: Eukaryota; Viridiplantae; Streptophyta; Magnoliopsida; Fabales; Fabaceae. The record is from RNAcentral.
UGAUGCAAAGUAUGGAAGAUGAUUAAUGUAUCAGCUUAUCAUAGAUUUGUACUAAUGAAAGUUAUGCUACUCCAAGUCCAUCUAUCAAUAGAUUGGCAAAAAGAAGACUAUGCAAAACUCAAAGUUGAAAGUUAAAUGAUUAAUUAUGUUAUCAAGUUAUAAGAUCAGGAUAUAACAUUAAUAACAUAGUAAUGGUUAGUGUACAACAUAGAAAAGUAAGUAAAAUGGUUAGUGGGUUGGUAUAAUCAAAAGA